Nelumbo nucifera (sacred lotus) is the source of this 3700-nucleotide non-coding RNA. NCBI's taxonomy places the organism in Eukaryota, Viridiplantae, Streptophyta, Magnoliopsida, Proteales, Nelumbonaceae. The record is from RefSeq and is a predicted model, not a curated record.
GAUAUACUGAUUCCCGCUGUUUGUUCCAAGCUGGUUGUCGACCAGAAAUUCCUUAUUCGUGCCAUCACAGAAAAGAAGCCAUAUGUAUCAAGGUUAUUCUACACUCUUAACCGUUAGUAUCAGUAUUAGUAGUAGAAGCUGUAAGCGACAUCUAUAUUGCUCAGUUGCUUACAGAAUAUGGCAUUGAUACAACCCCAUCUGGGGAACCUUCUGAGGCUUGUUCUCAGAAGAUCCAUCUGCUCUCCUCUUUUUACUCGAACACGACACAUACGGUCCGUCUGUUCCUUUUCUUUCAACCAACCCCACUUGAAGAAACCUGUUGUUCAGAAGUCUUUCUUCAAGGCUGACGGUAAUGAUGGUUUGGUAAACCGCUUCUGUAGGGAGAAGAAAUUCAAGGAAGCCAUAGACACUCUAUGCCAACAGAAACGCUUGAAAGAAGCAAUUCAAAUCCUAGACCUUCUGGAUCGUUCCAGAACAUGCCCGACUGCCGCAAUUUACUCUGCUCUUCUACAGCUCUGUCUCCAACAACGAGCACUUGAGGACGGAAGAAAGGUCCACGCCCAUUUCAAAGUCUCCGGUUUUGUGCCUGGGAUCUUUAUUUCUAAUCGUCUGCUUGAUUUGUACUCGAAAUGCGAGAGCUUGGCGGAUGCCCGAAAACUGUUUGACGAGAUGACGGAGAGGGACUUGUGUUCUUGGAACACCAUGAUCUCCGGCUAUGCAAAGGCGGGCCAACUUGAAGAGGCCCGCUUGCUUUUCGAAGGUGUGCCAGGAAAGGAUAAUUUCUCUUGGAGUACUAUGAUCUCCGCUUACGUUCGCCAUGACCAACCUCACGAAGCUUUGGAGUUGUACAGAAGAAUGCAAAAAGAAGAGAAAUUGCAAUGCAACAAGUUCACGGUCUCUAGUGCUCUAGCAGCUUCUGCUGCUGUUCCAUGUCUAAAGCUCGGCAAGGAGAUCCAUGGUCAUAUAAUGAGAACUGGGUUAGCCUCAGAUGCCGUGGUUUGGAGUGCCCUGUCAGAUAUGUAUGGGAAAUGUGGGAGUGUAGAAGAAGCAAGGCACGUCUUUGACAAGAUGCUGGACCGAGACAUUGUUGCUUGGACUACGAUGGUUGGAAGAUACUUUGAGAGUGGGAGGAGGAAAGAAGGGUUUGAGUUGUUUUCGGAACUUUUAAGGUCAGGGAUUAGACCCAAUGGGUUCACCUUUGCUGGGAUUCUGAAUGCAUGCUCAGCUGAUGCUGCAGAGGAUACGGGGAAGCAGGUUCAUGCAUACAUGACCCGGAUUGGAUUUGAUCCGUUUUCAUUUGCAGCUAGCGCACUUGUCCACAUGUAUUCAAAGUGCGGCAACAUCGACAGUGCCAGAAGAGUCUUCGAAGGAAUGCCUCAACCAGAUCUAGUUUCAUGGACUUCCAUGAUUUCUGGGUAUGCUCAAAAUGGUCAACCUGAGGAGGCUAUUCGCUACUUUGAGUUGCUGCUCAGAUCAGGUACUAAGCCUGAUCACAUUGCUUUUGUUGGGGUGCUUUCUGCAUGCACUCAUGCAGGUUUAGUUGAUAAAGGACUCGAAUAUUUCCAUUCAAUAAAUGAAAUACAUGGAUUGAAACACACUGCUGAUCAUUAUGCUUGCAUAAUUGAUCUGCUCAGUCGGCGUGGCCGAUUUCAAGAGGCUGAGGGAAUUAUUGAUAAAAUGCCCAUGAAACCUGAUAGGUUUCUAUGGGCUUCUUUGCUUGGUGGUUGUAGAAUUCAUGGAAAGCUUAGACUAGCAAAACGAGCAGCUGAAGCGUUAUUUGAGAUUGAACCUGAGAAUGCAGCAACCUACGUUACAUUAGCCAACAUUUAUGCCACUGCUGGUAUGUGGGAUGAAGUGGCAAAAGUUAGAAAAAUAAUGGAUAAUAGAGGAGUGGUAAAGAAGCCAGGUUCAAGUUGGAUUAAGAUCAAAAGAGAUGUCCAUGUGUUCUUAGUGGGAGAUAAAUCCCACCCCAAAACUAAGGAAAUCUAUGAAUUUCUAGAAAAACUCUCAAAGAGGAUAAAAGAAGAAGGGUAUGUUCCUGACACAAAUUUUGUUUUGCAUGAUGUUGAGGAAGAGCAGAAAGAGCAAAAUCUGUCCCACCACAGUGAGAAGCUUGCAGUUGCAUUUGGUGUUAUUUCUACUCCACCCGGGACAUUAAUCAAAGUUUUCAAAAAUCUUAGGACCUGUGUUGAUUGCCACACUGCCAUUAAGUUCAUGUCAAAGAUUGUAGGGAGGGAGAUCAUUGUGAGGGAUUCAAAUCGGUUCCAUCAUUUUAAGGACGGGAGCUGUUCAUGUGGAGACUUCUGGUGAUUUGGGGGCGAGCUGAAAAGUGAGAUAGUAGUUAAUUUACUUGCAGAUGAAAGGGGAAAGGUUCCCAACUUUAUGAAUUCUUAUCAAUUAAAUUAAGCAAAAAGGUAUCUCUUGUCCCUCAAAGUCAGACAGUGCAUUGUAAAAAGGUUUGACAGAGGACUUGGAUGAUCUUUGUCUUUAAACUGUUCAAGGAGUGCAAAGAAGGACGAACCAUCUUCUUCUUCCAUCUUAGAGGAAACUGCAGGAGCUUCUGACAUUGUUGCCCCAUCAGGAGAGGAACAAGAGGCUGUUUUACAAGCUCUCCAUCUGUUCAUGGCAUCUGUUUGGGGUCUUCCUGCUAGAUAUGCAAAGAUUAUAAUAGAAGUGAUACCUAACAAAAUUCUAAUCUUUCUUCUUACUGAUGAAUUUCUUUUGUAUUAUGCACUUCUUUUAUUGUGUAUAACCUUUUCUUUUGUAUUUAUUGAUAUUGACCUAUAUGUUUGUUUUUUAUAUUAUAGCAGGUCUUCUACUUAAAACAAUCAAAGGGUUUGCCUACCAAGGAAACACAGGUGAAGCUUAAAUAGUGGCUUUUGGCGUUGCAAGGUAGACCCCAUAUGGAAAGCUGUGAAGCUGUAUUUGGUGAAAAAAAAAACCCAGAAAGCCAGAAAUAUGCUUGAGCUACGAAAUUGACUUUUUGGUGAAACUAUUUUUGGUAGCUUAGCAUAUAAUGAUCCCAAACGGGCUCUUAGGCCCUUGCUCAAGACAAGAUGUAGAAAAGACAAAGGUACGUUUCAUGGCAAUUACUGUUAAAAUGCUCCUAACAUCUAGGCUGACUAGCCUCUCCAUGGAACUUAAACUUCCAUAUUUGAGACUAGUAGCAGCUGUUGGUUUUAGGGGCAAAAGGUUUGAGAUUCCAAGCAAUACCAAUCCUCACUUAAGCUUGCUGGGUUUUAGGCUGACUAGCCAACCCCAUAUCUUUAAUUGAGCUUGUUGGGCCAAGUGAAAAAAUAUUUCAUAUUCUGUGUUGACUUCCAUCCACUGCUUUUUUCCUGUCCUUACCUCUAACAAAAGAAAUAUUUUAAACUGCAGUGAUACCUGGAAACACUCCUCUUUUUCAAGUAUCUUGAAGGCGUUGGUGAAACCUCCAACACCUCAACCAGUUCGUGUAGACAUUCCCCAACUAACCUAAAAGGGUGAAAUUUGCAAACGUUACAUAGGUGCUUUUCAAAUUUGCAAGCUAAUAAUUUGAAUGGAAUUGCUUGCUACUCUGGGAGUUCAUAAUUUCCACCACUGGCACAUGGUAGCCAAGAAGUCAAGCUUCCUUUCCCAUCCCCAACCCCACCCAAGAACUGAUGGACGGACGGCUGAACAAGAAAUUCUCUGUUCCCUCUGCUACUACCAAAAGAACCUU